Long non-coding RNA from Microcebus murinus (gray mouse lemur), 4859 nucleotides. The record is from Ensembl. Lineage: Eukaryota; Metazoa; Chordata; Mammalia; Primates; Cheirogaleidae.
GAACUUAUUUUAGCAGGUUCAUUUGCCUCAGUGGGGAAUACAGGACUUUGGCCUAAUGCUUCACCUUUAGUGCAGGCCAUUUGAGCCUUAGAACAAAUACCAAUCAUCACUCUUUGGGAAAAAGGAAUCUGCAUCGGCGUGCCCUAUUGGAAUGGGGUUUCUGUCAAGGUAAACGGUUGUCGGCAAUGACUGUGGUAGAGUGGCGAUAAAUCCCAUUUUAUUGCUGAAAAAUUCCAGCUUCUCUCCAUGCCUGACAGCUCCCCACAUUCUCAUACCCAUUUGGGCAAUUUCUGCACUAUGUCCAUCUGGUUCUCAUUACCUCUCAACCUGCCUGCGUCUGAUCCAGAGAAAGAGCAGAUUGCAUUCUUACCCAAAUACUCUUCGCGAUUGCCUGCUUUGCGGCUUUGGGAUUCUUCAGAUAGAUUGAAACAUUCACAUAGAUUGAUACCUCAGUUUUCUCAGCAUGUCAAAUCCAGCUUUUUAUUUGCUGACAACUAACUCAAAAAUCAAAACUUGGUAUUUCAAGGAGAUCUGAAGUUAGAAACCAGUUGUCCACGUCACUGGCUCUUCACCUUGCAGUCUCCUCUGUGGUGAAGCCAUGCAGGACAGAGGUCUCUGAGCACAGCAGGAGCCUGCACCCUGAUGUUCUACCCACCACUGUGGACCCAUGACACGAGCCAGUCAGUGUGGUUCUCAAGCCCCCGGUACCGGGCACACUAUGUGAGCGGUACAGUCACACGCGUGUCAAAGCACGGACCAAAUCUCAUUCAACUCUGAGGUCCUUGACUCAGUUUACUUGUUGUAUUGGGAAAGCAUUGUGACUUUUCCUCCUUAGUAUAACAUCUUGAAAAUCCAUCACUCAAACAAAGAAAGAUCCUGCCAUGACCUUUCUUCUAGAUUGAUUUGCCUUUAGCUAUGGGAAUGGAAAGUCUUUCCAAAAGGUUUUCUCUCCUCCCACCCAAGGCCAUAGUAACCUUUCUAAAUGCCAUUUGAAUCCUGUUGAUUCCUUCCUCAAAUCCCUCAAUUGCUCUUCCUUGAGUAUGGGGUAAGAGGCCCGUCUACUGCACAAGGGGUAACCUGGCCUCUGACCUUUAUAAAUUCAAUGCUUCCCCUCAUUUGCUAUCUUUUUUAUUCCCCAUGCCCUGCUUUUGGGUGGAUUAUUUCUUCUGAGGUUAAGAUAUUUCUUUGCUUUCUUUGCUAGGCUAAAUCCUUUAAACUCAAGUGAUUCAUCUUCUGGGAAGUCUGUCCUAAACCCCAAGCUGGGCAGGAUGGCCCCCUCAGAGCCCACCUGGCACUCAUGGCUUCCCAUUGCAGCCUUAGCUACACUGUGUUGUACUUGCCUUUUGGUGUUUAUGUUUCUCACUGUUCUGGAAGCUUCUGAGGACAGGCCCUGGAUCUUUCAUUUUGGCAAACUCCUGCACCCAGCCCAGAGUCUGGUAUAUAGGAACAAGGUCAAUACAUGUUUACUGAAUAAGCAAAUGAAUGAAGCCUAAAUUUGACAAGUUCUCCCAUGAGAUAAUUAGGGACACCACCAACCUAGAGGUAGAUUGAUAGCUAGUUGAAAACUGUUCCAAAAGAAAUCGGAGAAGGCAGGCCUAGAUCAGACAACUGAUACAAAUGAUGAUUUAUAAGAAUUAGAAAGGAUAUGAGCUAAGAUGCAGGGGCUACUGAACUCGAGGAGGGUUUUCACCCCCAAAUAAUUUAAUUUCAAAAUGGAUGAGGUGUACAAUUCUGCUUUUAGGGCAAAUAAGUUCAUCAAAUUAAUACAAAUUGUGGGAGGAGAACUUGUCUGAAUGUUACUCACAAUGAGCCAAGAGUGUGAUUGAAGCUAAAAUUUUAUUGUUAUUAACUGUUUAUUGUUAUUAAUUACUGAGCACCUGGAAUCUCUUAGGCAUUUUCAAUAGACACUUUAACUUAAUAACUCAGUGUGAGUUAGCCCUCGCCACAUCUCUGAGAAGUGGGUAACGUGCUAUUGGCCCUGUGCGAAUGGGGACACUGAGGCUCAGGGAGAGUAAACCACCAGCCCAAGGUCACAGAGCUAAAAGGGACAGCAUGACUGGGCGACUCCUGAAGUCACGGAUUGAAGGGUGGUAUUGACAAACUAGAGCACAUUCUGGGGAGUGGGGCUGAUGCGCAUUUCUUUUCUAACAGUGUGACAACAAUCACAUUCUGGUCUCCUCCUCCUAUUUCCAAACCAACUGAGGAAUACACAAAAAUGUCAGACAAAUAUAAAUCCAAACGUCAGCUUUUUCAGAGGAAGCUGGUUAAAUACACACACUAAUCCUGUACCCCAACCCCAGCAGUAAAUGCAGCUGCCAGAACUGCAGGUUCACCUGGAAGGGGCCAAGCCUGCCUGGCAGGGCCCCCACAGGCAGGGACAAAACCUGGCUCCACAGGCAGCUCCUGAGCAGUGGACGCCGCAGGCCUGUGUGGCUUAGCCCCUAGGAUCAGUGACGCCUCCCAGGCAAGCCGCGCCCCUCCUAUGGGCAGGAAUGGGUCAGAGAGAGGCCAGAGUGUGACUCUAAAGCUCCUCAGGGACACAGAAAGCCCAGGAAUGAAGUCCUAGUCCCUAGUGGUGGCCAGGAUGCUAACUGACAUAUCAGUGGCACCAAAAGGUAGAAAGACUGGUGUGAUGGUUAAAUUUAUGUGUCAAAUCAACUGAGCUGUGGUACCUGGAUGUUUGGCCAAAUACCAAUUGAGACGUUGCUGUGAAGGUACUUUUUAGAUGUGAUUGACAUUUAAAUCAGUAGACUCUGAGUAAAGCAGAUUACUCUCCAUGAUGUGGGUGGCCCUCAUCCCAUCAGUUGAAGGCAUUAAAAGCAAAGACUGAGGUUUCCAGAAGAAAAAGAAGUACUCCUAAAGACUGCAACAUCCACUCAUACAUGAAUUCUCAUCUGCCCUACAGAUUUCGGAGUUGCCCAUCUCCCCACUGUGAGCCAAUCUUUCUCCGUUUCUAAAUAUAUAUAUGUAUGUACCUAUGUAUAUAUACAUAGGAGUAUCUCCCAUUGGUUCUGUUUGUCUGGAGAAGGCUGGCUAAUACAACUGGGGAUGUUGAAUAUGCAGCUGAGGAAUUAGCGUGGUGAUCACGGAAGCCAUGUUCACAUUUCUGAUGGGUUCCCACAGGGCAAGCUAUUGGGCUCACUCAAUGUGUCCCGUCAGCGUGGACUUUCUUGAGAUGCUUUUAGCACUUGAAAUGGUUUCACUGGAGCAUGACCGUCCUUGUUAGAGAAAAAAUGCUCAGGUUGUGAGGAGGCUGACUCGGACAGCUGCCUAUUAGGGUCACUUUAAACUCUUUUAAGGGUAGUGACACUAUCUUAUGCUUCUGUUAAAUAAUUCCAAUGCCAUUUUUUCAUGUUUUAAUGUCUAUUAGUUUUAGACAUUAAAACUAAUGUCUAAAACUUUCAUGUCUAUUACUUUAUUGGCUUUCCAACAGUGUCUAGCACACAAUUAGACAAUUAUAGAAUUGAAUUGAGAGUGUAAUAAUGGCUAAUUAGGAACCAAAUUUUAACUUUAAAUGAACAUGUACUUCUCUGUUUUCUUCACAUUGCUUUGUCUCUAUAUACAUUUCUUUUAAAGUACUCAUUUUUAUGACCAACAUAUUAUUAAUAGUAAUGUUCUGUUAUUACUUGGUUAUUUAAUUAUAAAUUAAAAUACAUAGCUCACAGGAUUUUUGACCAGAACUAAGCAAGAAAUUAAAAUAUAAAUGAGAAACUAACCUAAUUUGUGAAUAACAUUUCUCUGAAAUCAAUUAUCUUAUUUUCAUAGGAAACACAAUUAGAAGGAGAAAUCUGUCUGCUAAAUUCAUCUAAAAGAAUGCAAGAGUUAUUGGGCUAUAGGAAAAUACUCUCUCUGAACAGGAUUUUCCUUUUAUUCUUCCCCUUCCAGUGAAGGAUUUUACUGCCUCUUACCUGCCUGGAGCUUGAGAUUUGAGGCCACAUAAAUAGCUAAUCUGGAAAUUUCAAACCAAUGUUUUCAAGGGUAGUUACAUGCUCUCCCCUUUUCUCCUUGAAUUAUCCAGUCAACAUUCUUGAUCUUGCCAGUGUUGGUACAGCCACCAAGUCACGAUGCUCGGCCGUGUAACCUUGCACCCUCUGAGGAAGGGGGGAGUCUUUUUUGGAGCCCCGACAUCAUUCUCCUGUUCAGACCAUCUUGCAGGGCAGAAAGUAUCACAGGAAGGCAGAGCCUGAGGGUCUUGUACUGAACAAACCUUAUUCUUGAUAUUUUGUGUUAAAGAUAAUGCUAGCAAACUCUAGCAUUAAGAUGACAAGUGUCAUCUUUUUGGGAGGGUCAUUCAGCCCUGUAGCACUGUGAAGGCUGUGCUGAUGGAGCCAAGAUUCCCUCAGACAUAGUUUAUGGCAAAGGUUGUCAAAGGAUGGUCCCUGGACUGACAGCGUCAGCAUUAUUUGGGAACCUGUCAGAAAUGCAAAUUCUUGGGCCCCACCCCAGACCUGCAUCAGAAUCUCUGGGGCGGCACCCAGCAGCAUGUUUAGCAAAUCUGCAGGGGAUUCUGAUGCAAGCUCAAGUUUGAACUACUGGUUUAUAGCACAUUUCAGCUCCUCACAAACACAAACACAGGCACAUUUGGGGUAUUUCCUCAGUAAAGUGGGCUCUGGUCACAUUGAAACAGUGACUAUGUGCCUCUGUGUGUGUGUGUAUGUGUGUGUGUGUGUCGGGGGGUGUUGGGGGUAGAAGUGAUGAUCAGGAUUGACUGCAAUGACCCAGGAAGCAGGGGUCAGAGGUAUUUUCUAAGAACUGGAAAAUCUUCACUUGGAAUCCCCAAGGAUCGUAGAGCCAAGGUGGCCCGGCCUGGGUCUCAAUGCAUUAUGGCCUCAGGGAGUCCAGUCUGAGGGCAAGAUGGA